GAUACCAGGGAUAAAAGGUCGAAAAUCCGAUGCAAGCUUGCUUGCAAGAGGAUUUUCGACCUUGGAACCCGCCAAAAACAUGAAUAAGCAGCCAUUUUUCGCAGAAAAAUGAGCGGAUUAUGAAUGUUUUUGAGGCUUGUGUGAGUGCGAAGCACGGAACGAGCCGG
This 167-nucleotide small RNA is filed under the name uncultured Lachnoclostridium sp. Its description in RNAcentral is "Clostridiales-1 RNA". It matches the Rfam family "Clostridiales-1 RNA". Lineage: Bacteria; Bacillati; Bacillota; Clostridia; Lachnospirales; Lachnospiraceae. The record is from RNAcentral.